UUAAUACUUCACGGCGUUAAGGGUGAUUAGAGAUAAUCUUAUACUAAAUAAAGUUAAGACCCCAUCAAGCUGUCAUACGCUUCUAUGCUUAAAAAUAUCACUCACGAAAGUAACUUUACACAAACAGAAUUUUUGACCUCACGACAGUUAAGACCCAAACUAGGAUUAG
RNAcentral lists this ribosomal RNA (169 nucleotides) under Aetomylaeus bovinus (bull ray). RNAcentral describes it as "partial small subunit ribosomal RNA". Lineage: Eukaryota; Metazoa; Chordata; Chondrichthyes; Myliobatiformes; Myliobatidae. The record is from RNAcentral.